Molecule: ribosomal RNA, 331 nt
Filed under: uncultured eukaryote
Lineage: Eukaryota
Description: partial 18S ribosomal RNA
Rfam family: Eukaryotic small subunit ribosomal RNA
Source: RNAcentral
CCCUUAGAUGUUCUGGGCCGCACGCGCGCUACACUGUUCGACGCAGCGAGUCUUAACCUUGACCGAAAGGUUUGGGUAAUCUUCAGCAAAGUCGAACGUGAUGGGGAUCGAUCAUUGCAAUUAUUGAUCGUGAACGAGGAAUUCCUAGUAAGUGCAAGUCAUCAGCUUGCGCUGAUUACGUCCCUGCCCUUUGUACACACCGCCCGUCGCUACUACCGAUUGAAUGGUUUAGUGAGAUCUCUGGAUUGACGCUGGCUAGGGGGCGACCCUUGGCCAGGCUGUCGAGAAACUGCUCAAACUUGAUCAUUUAGAGGAAGUAAAAGUCGUGACA